GACGAACGCUGGCGGCGUGCUUAACACAUGCAAGUCGAACGGAAAGGCCCUGCUUGCAGGGUACUCGAGUGGCGAACGGGUGAGUAACACGUGGGUGAUCUGCCCUGCACUUCGGGAUAAGCCUGGGAAACUGGGUCUAAUACCGGAUAGGAGCCAUUUUUAGUGUGAUGGUCGGAAAGUUUUUUCGGUGUAGGAUGAGCUCGCGGCCUAUCAGCUUGUUGGUGGGGUAAUGGCCUACCAAGGCGGCGACGGGUAGCCGGCCUGAGAGGGUGGACGGCCACAUUGGGACUGAGAUACGGCCCAGACUCCUACGGGAGGCAGCGGUGGGGAAUAUUGCACAAUGGGCGCAAGCCUGAUGCAGCGACGCCGCGUGGGGGAUGACGGCCUUCGGGUUGUAAACUCCUUUCGCUAGGGACGAAGCUUUUUGUGACGGUACCUAGAUAAGAAGCACCGGCUAACUACGUG
RNAcentral lists this ribosomal RNA (465 nucleotides) under uncultured bacterium. Its description in RNAcentral is "partial 16S ribosomal RNA". It matches the Rfam family "Bacterial small subunit ribosomal RNA", at positions 28 to 507 of the family's 1533-position model. The record is from RNAcentral.